Molecule: long non-coding RNA, 436 nt
Organism: Gossypium arboreum
Lineage: Eukaryota; Viridiplantae; Streptophyta; Magnoliopsida; Malvales; Malvaceae
Exons: 2
Source: RefSeq, a predicted model, not a curated record
CAAGGGGAGAAGCAAGCAAAUACUCCUCAGAAAGGUAAACGUUCAGGUCAAAGUAGUGCUACUGGGACUGUUCAUUCGGGAACGAGAGAUACUGCAGCCCGAUCAGAGACAAGAGUACCUGCACGUACAUAUGCUAUCCGGGCAAGGGAAGAAGCUUCUGCUCCAGAUGUGAUAGCUGAUUGACUUGAAGUGAAGUGGGUAGAUCGGAUCAACACAACAAAGCACACUAUCCAGAUCAAUUCCGGUAGCUUUUGUUUUAUGUUUGAAGAUUUAUAUGGCAUGUAUAGAGUUUGAAUGAAUUGAAGUAAAGAUGUUAUAAACUAGUUAACAAUAUUUGUACUAAAAUAGUUUUCGGUAAGUAGCAGUAGUUUGACUUUGAAAAAUCACUAAAAAUAGUAGAAAUGGAAUUAAAUAAUGAAUAAAUUAUGGAAUCGAA